GGGCUCGUAGCUCAGCUGGCCAGAGCACGCGCAUGGCAUGCGCGGGGUCGAGGGUUCAAAUCCCUCCGGGUCCACCA
This 77-nucleotide transfer RNA is filed under the name Parcubacteria group bacterium CG08_land_8_20_14_0_20_43_9. RNAcentral's name for it is "tRNA-Ala". It matches the Rfam family "tRNA". From Rfam's summary of the family: Transfer RNA (tRNA) molecules are approximately 80 nucleotides in length. Their secondary structure includes four short double-helical elements and three loops (D, anti-codon, and T loops). The record is from RNAcentral.